RNAcentral lists this unclassified non-coding RNA (419 nucleotides) under Hevea brasiliensis (rubber tree). The record is from RNAcentral. Lineage: Eukaryota; Viridiplantae; Streptophyta; Magnoliopsida; Malpighiales; Euphorbiaceae.
GGAUGUGAAAGAUUAGGAUAUGUAAUCUUAAAAACUUCAAAAUGUAGAGUUAAGAAAUUGCUUUGGUUUGGUUUUGUCAAAAUUUUCAUUUACAGAGUCGAACCAAAACAAAUAAAUUGAUUUUUAAAAAAAUUUAAAACCAAACCAAAUUAUUUAAUAAACUGAACCAAAUUUCUAAAUCAGUUUGAUUUGGUCAGUCAUUUCAGCUUAAACCAAAUUCUGCUUACCACUGAUCUGUAUGCAGCAAAAUUAUAACAUGAAUUGCCAAUGGUUGAAACUUUACCAACCUUAGCAAUUGUUCCAUGGCUUCUGCUUAUUGAUUUCUCUGGAGUGAUGUAGCUGCAGCUUUUCAUGUUAAAUGUAAAAUCUUGAAGAAAUGCAAAUGUGAUUGGUUAUUAUGAAUUCCAUGUAGGACCUCU